Molecule: long non-coding RNA, 973 nt
Filed under: Homo sapiens (human)
Lineage: Eukaryota; Metazoa; Chordata; Mammalia; Primates; Hominidae
Description: HSALNT0382625
Source: RNAcentral
UGAGCUUGUUCUUAACCAGGGAAAAGAGAAGAGACCCUGAAGAAGCUAGUCGGCACAGAGUGUGGCUUCUGCUGCAUGUCCAGCUGCUGUCUGUCCCCCAGGAGACCAUUCUAGAGCACACUUGCAUGGGGUGGAGGAUAUUUUCAGCUGCUGAGUCUUCUUCAAGGAGGAGUUAGAGUCAAGACUCUCUGUCUCAGAACCUUGGAGUCCAAAUAGAAAAAAAAAAUUGGAGAUGUGGUAACAUCAAGUGUCAGCCAAGCUGAGAAAACUAGAUGCCAAAAAUGAUAUGUGUAAAAAGCAAGCGGGCCAAGCAGACACAACAGUUGCAGAGAUAAGAGGCAGUCGCUUUUCUUCAAUGGAGGUGCCGAUGCCUACAGAGGACUCACCCAGACCCUUCAAUCUGAUGUAGCAAAUAAUAAAGAGAGAGAUUCGGUACCUAUGGGAACAGCCUCUACUCAGUGACAUUCAAGACAUUUCAAUGCACCAUCUACCUCAUCUACCCAGGUGGCACCACCAGUGUGGGGUCCAGGAGACAGUGCAUCGGGAAGGGACAGAACAGCGAUCUCAGAGACCAGGACAGGCUCAGAGGGACACCUUGACCCUGGGGAAAGAAGAGGAGCCAGGGCCUUGUUUACAUGUUGAAAUCCUCAGGAGGUCAAGGACGAGCCAUACUGAUGAGAAUUAAAGACUCUUGGUGUGUCAGGAGAGAGGAAGAGUUAAAGUCUUGAAGAGGACUCUGUGACAGCUAAAGUAUCAUGUGUACAGGUACAUUUACCACAUCAUGACUUUAACCAUCUAUGUUCUUCAAGGAAGAUAGAGGCUUAUGAAUGGGGACAGAAAUAGAACGAAGGUCAAGAACAGAGUGGGAGAAAAUUAAAGAGUAGGGGAGCAAGGUGCCAUAAUAGUGAAAGGAAAUACAAGAUUCCUGUUGUCAAGGACCUUACAUUCAAUAGGAGAAAGACGUACAAUAAGC